GGCCUUGUGGUCUAGUGGUAUGAUUCUCGCUUUGGGUUCAACAGCUCAGAUUGCGAGAGGCCCCGCGUUCGAAUCGCGGCAGGGCCC
Coccidioides immitis RS is the source of this 87-nucleotide non-coding RNA. Lineage: Eukaryota; Fungi; Ascomycota; Eurotiomycetes; Onygenales; Onygenaceae. The record is from the annotation of a RefSeq genome assembly.